Long non-coding RNA from Ricinus communis (castor bean), 1481 nucleotides. RefSeq lists it as uncharacterized. Lineage: Eukaryota; Viridiplantae; Streptophyta; Magnoliopsida; Malpighiales; Euphorbiaceae. The record is from RefSeq and is a predicted model, not a curated record. The transcript has 3 exons.
ACCUCUUGUGGACUCAUCUGAUAGAUGAUUAGGCGUUGGAAUUGUUUCUUGACAAUGGCAGAGGUAGGAGGCUGUUCACUUCCCAAUCCAUAUCCUACCUCAUACACGUCUCCGAAUGAGGACAGAUCAGGAACUCCCUGUUCAGUUCACAUUUAUAUCAAUGGAAGCAUAUCAGCUCACAUAACAGUAACGUUAUGGAGAUGAUGAAGUGAGAGUUCAGAAGUCAUGAAGUGGGUAACAACUCAAUAGUUGGUGAAGACAGUUGGCUACCAUACAUCCCUAUAUUCUUCUCUUCCCCAAACACACACACACUCAAAAAAAAAAAAAAAAAAGCAGUACUCAUCAUCAUCACUGUGAAUAAACUUGUUCUUCUGUGUCCCAUCAAUUAAAAGAUUAUCAUAAUAAUUUAGUCAAAAGAAAUCUGAAAUAUGUAUUUAUAUGAAUGAUCAGAUUAAGAGAUAUGUAUAUUGGUAGAUAGGGUAUGAUAGAAAUUUACAUCUUGAAUGUCUUGAUCCGUCAAGUAACCAAACUUGAGCAUGGUGGCAGCCACAUAUACUGCUACUCUGAUCUUCUUUGCGAACUUGUGGGUGGCCUGCGUUACGCUUAGCCCUCCAGCGCUGUGCCCGACCAAUAUCACCUAUAAACACGACCAACAUAUAUAUGCAUGUUUAUCCAUAUCUGUACAUGAAUUAAUUAAUGUAUCUAGAAAGUAACAAAGGACCUGGUGAUUAUCAGGCAAGGAAGACAUGAAGUCCAUGAGAGGCUUAUUAUAAUCAUCAAAAGAAAGGAUAGAAUUAGCAUCUGCUGGAUCAAUGCCUGCUCCUCUGAGAUCAAUACAGGAGACUUUAUACCCUGAAUUCUCCAUGAGGCACCUGAUUUUGUACCAGCACCAGCUUCCUCCACCGAUUCCAUGCACCAGCACGAAGUGUGGCUUUGAUGCUGCUGCUGCAGCAGCUUCUUCAUCAUCUCUCAUGUACUCUGCUGCCUCUCCCAUUUAUGGCCACUUCUUCCCCACUUUAAUGGAAUUCUUCUUUAAAGAAAGAGAGAGGUUUCCAGUGGAAUCCAGCAAUUUCAAGAUUUGUUACAUUGGAAAAGAUUUUCCUGGGCAGAAGAUUGAUCCUCCACUUAUAUAUAAUUUUUGAGGAAGAAAUAUAGAAGAAUCAGUGAAUGGUGAAAAUGAGGGAGGGCAGGCCAUAUGAAAUGGAAGCCAACCUUGCAGAAAAGGUUGAAUGGAAGGCCCCAUUCAGAAAGAGUCAAGGAGGAAGAGCCACUCAUUUGAUAAUUAUUUAUUAUUCAUAAGUGGUUAAUCCAAGUUGAUAGACUUUUGCCACUGAAAUGCCAAUACCUCUCUCAUAAUUAAUUGAUUGGGAUUUUGAGACAUCACUUUUCUUUCUGUACCCUUUCCUUUUUAUGUUAAGAAAACUGUCUGUAAAAAGACAGAAACUUCAAAAAGAUAAAAUAAAAGAGAAGCCUUUUGUGGU